ACACUCUUCAAAAUCUCUCCUUUAUUUCUUGCCCCACCAAACUAUUGCCUGCUACUCCAAUUGAUUUCGCCAUUAUUUUCUUUCCUCACAGCCGGCCCUGCCCCAUAUGGACAGACGCCUCGUCGAGGCAGUUCUCAAAGGCGACGUUUCAACCUUCCUCUCUCUCGCUCAAGAAGAGGAAGAUAUCAUCAAACAAGUCGUCUCCGGCUCCCUGAACACUGUCUUACACUUAGCAGCGCGGUUUAGGCACUUGCAAUUGGCGUCGGAGAUAGUGAAUCUAAGGCCUGAAUUGGCGUCGGCCGAGAAUGAAAAGCUGGAGACUCCUUUGCAUGAAGCAUGUAGAGAGGGGAGAGUGGAGAGUGGAGAUUGUGGCGCUUUUGAUGGAGGUAGAUCCAUGGAUUGCUCCAAAGGUUAACCGGAACGACGAGAGCGUGCUGUUUGUGGGGUGCGAGAGAGGGAAGCUUGAUGUGGUGAAGCAUCUUUUGGUGAACCAUUCAUGGCUGUUGAUGCUGGAAUUGGAUGCUCCCACCAUUUCACUUCAUGCUGCAGCUUCAGGAGGCCAUACAGGUGAGUAUCAACCUUGAUUGUGGCGGAUCAGGAGUCUUUGAACUCGAUUUACUACCAGAUGUACUCCCUUGCACCUAGCUUGCAGCAAAGGUCACCUUGAGAUCACAAGAGAGCUUCUGAGGUUGGACCCAGACCUCACUUCCUUACAGGACAAUGAUGGUCGAACACCUCUCCACUGGGCGGCCAUGAAAGGGCGUGUCAACAUCAUUGACGAGAUCCUCUCUGUCAGUCUCCAAUCGGCAGAGAUGAGAACCGAACAUGGUGAGACUGUUCUACACCUGGGAGUGAAGAACAACCAGUAUGAAGCCGUCAAGUACUUGACAGAGACCCUCAACAUCUCCCAGCUCCUCAACACGCCGGAUAGUGAUGGCAAUACCAUCUUCCAUCUCGCCACUGCCGAAAAACUCACCACUCUAAGCUAAUUAUAUAUCAUACUGUAUAUUUAUAUGGGACCUACGUACUUUUGCCAACUCUAACUUUGUCUUUAGCUGGGUGUCAAUGUAAAUGUUCUAAAGAAUCUAAACCGCAAGGGUUACAGCCCUCUAGAAAGGAUGGUUAACACGGUGGACCUUCAACUUUACCCCCAUUAUUAAAUUACCUUUAUAGAGACCCAGAAGCUUUUCUA
RNA transcript from Vitis riparia (riverbank grape), 1192 nucleotides. It is a transcript of the gene named ankyrin repeat-containing protein BDA1-like, with no coding region annotated. The transcript has 2 exons. Lineage: Eukaryota; Viridiplantae; Streptophyta; Magnoliopsida; Vitales; Vitaceae. The record is from RefSeq and is a predicted model, not a curated record.